AGAACGAACGCUGGCGGCAGGCCUAACACAUGCAAGUCGAACGCCGUAGCAAUACGGAGUGGCAGACGGGUGAGUAACACGUGGGAACGUGCCCAAAGGUACGGAACAACUCCGGGAAACUGGAGCUAAUACCGUAUGUGCCCGAAAGGGGAAAGAUUUAUCGCCUUUGGAUCGGCCCGCGUCUGAUUAGCUAGUUGGUAGGGUAAUGGCCUACCAAGGCUACGAUCAGUAGCUGGUCUGAGAGGAUGAUCAGCCACAUUGGGACUGAGACACGGCCCAAACUCCUACGGGAGGCAGCAGUGGGGAAUAUUGGACAAUGGGCGAAAGCCUGAUCCAGCCAUGCCGCGUGAGUGAUGAAGGCCUUAGGGUUGUAAAGCUCGUUUCGGCGGGGACGAUAAUGACGGUACCCGCAGAGAAGCCCCGGCUAACUUCGCGCCAGCAGCCGC
RNAcentral lists this ribosomal RNA (446 nucleotides) under uncultured bacterium. RNAcentral's name for it is "SSU rRNA". It matches the Rfam family "Bacterial small subunit ribosomal RNA", at positions 26 to 518 of the family's 1533-position model. The record is from RNAcentral.